RNAcentral lists this non-coding RNA (30 nucleotides) under Mus musculus (house mouse). Lineage: Eukaryota; Metazoa; Chordata; Mammalia; Rodentia; Muridae. The record is from RNAcentral.
UGGCCAGUUCAAAUUUUUGUCAAAUUCUUC